AUGGCCGUCUCUGUCCGCCUCGGCUCCUCCCCAUCCAUCCUUCUGCUCCCGCUCCUCUUCCUCUUCACCAUCCCGUCGCUCGCCUCCGCCUGCGACCGCUGCGCGCGCCACUCCAAGGCCGCCUACUACACCUCCUCGCUCACCCUCGCUGCCGGCUCCUGCGGGUACGGCACGGCGGCCGCCUCCUUCAACGGCGGCCUGCUCGCCGCCGCCGGCCCGGCCCUGUACCGGGGCGGCGUCGGCUGCGGCGCCUGCUUCCAGGUGAGGUGCAAGGACAAGAAGCUCUGCAGCGGCGCCGGCGCCAGGGUCGUGGUGACGGACCGCGCCAGGAUGAGGACGAACCGCACGGACCUGGUGCUGAGCAGCCCGGCGUUCGCCGCCAUGGGCCGCCCCGGCAUGGCCGCGCGGCUCACCAAGCUCCGCGCCGUCGAUGUCGAGUACAAGAGGGUGCCGUGCGAGUACAGGGGCAAGAACCUCUCGGUGCGGGUGGAGGAGCGGAGCCGCGCGCCCAGCGAGCUCGCCGUCCGGUUCCUCUACCAGGGCGGCCAGACCGACAUCGUCGCCGUCGACGUCGCGCAGGUCGGGUCGUCGAGCUGGAAGUUCAUGACGCGGGAGCACGGGCCGGCGUGGAGCACGCGGCAGGCGCCGGCGGGGCCGCUGCAGUUCAGGGUGGUGGUGACCGGCGGGUACGACGGGAAGUGGGUGUGGGCCGACCGGGAGGUGCUGCCCAGCCGGUGGCGCGCCGGCGAGGUCUACGACACGGGGGUCCAGAUCACCGACGUCGCGCAGGAGGGCUGCUUUCCAUGCGACACGCAGGAGUGGAGGUGA
This 828-nucleotide ribosomal RNA is filed under the name Triticum aestivum (bread wheat). Its description in RNAcentral is "partial small subunit ribosomal RNA". Lineage: Eukaryota; Viridiplantae; Streptophyta; Magnoliopsida; Poales; Poaceae. The record is from RNAcentral.